This 984-nucleotide ribosomal RNA is filed under the name Botryosphaeria dothidea. Its description in RNAcentral is "SSU rRNA". It matches the Rfam family "Bacterial small subunit ribosomal RNA", at positions 15 to 962 of the family's 1533-position model. The record is from RNAcentral. Lineage: Eukaryota; Fungi; Ascomycota; Dothideomycetes; Botryosphaeriales; Botryosphaeriaceae.
GAUGAUGGCUCUGAUUGAACGCUAUCCAAGUGCUUGACACAUGCUAAUCGAACGUCUAAUUUAAUUAGAAAUAAUUUAAUUAGAAGUGGUGUACAGGUGAGUAAACGAUAUUAUGGCUACCUUGGAGUAAGGGACAUUAAAAUACCUUAUAUAAUACAAAAAAUAUGUAUAAAAAGAAAUUUAUUUUCGCUCCUAGAUGGAAAUUAAUAUCUCAGGCAGGUAGUAGUUAAGGUAAUGGCUUAACUAGCUUAUGUCCGUAGUUCGAGACUGAGAGGUCGAUCGAUCACAUUGGGUCUGAAAAAACCCCAAUACGUAUAGUACAGCAGUGAGGAAUAUUGGUCAAUGGCCUAACGGCUGAACCAGCAACUUGGGGGAAUGGAUAUAUAUAUUAGAUAUAAUAUAUAAUACCGACUCUGUCGGAUAAAGUUCUAGAUAGAAGAAUGAUAAUGACAAUUUUCUAUCUAUAUGUCUUGACCAAAUCUUGUGCCAGCAGUCGCGGCAACACAAGGGAGACUAGUGUUAUUCAUCUUUAUUAGGUUUAAAGGGUACCUAGACGGUAUAUCAAGCCCCAAAAGGGAACGGGUAUACUAGAGUUUUAUGUGAGAGGCAAAUAUAGUACUAUUGGUGUAGAGAUAAAAUUCAUUGAUACCUCUAGGCACGGGUAACGGCGAAGGCAAUCCUCUAUGUAAAAACUGACGUUGAGGGACGAAGGCUUGGGGAGCGAAUAGGAUUAGAUACCCUAGUAGUCCAGGCAGACAAUUAUGAAUGUCAUAGAUUAGAUUAUAAUAGUAAGAAAUAAGAAAGAGAGUAAGAUAAUUACUAAAAAAAAAAAGGGUUAGAUGUCUUCACCUCCCUAUUUUUUUUGAUCUAUAAAUGAAAGUGUAAGCAUUCCACCUCAAGAGUAAUGCGGCAACGCAGGAACUGAAAUCAUUAGACCGUUUCUGAAACCAGUAGUGAAGUAUGUUAUUUAAUUCGAUGAUCCGC